GCAGGGCCGUGAAUUCUCCGGCCCCCGGACGACGGUUCAGUACCCGGAACGCGACAAGACUGGCCAAA
RNAcentral lists this non-coding RNA (68 nucleotides) under Arthrobacter sp. Lineage: Bacteria; Bacillati; Actinomycetota; Actinomycetes; Micrococcales; Micrococcaceae. RNAcentral also lists the same sequence under 1 other name. The record is from RNAcentral.